GCGCCUCGUGAAUUCAUCUCCGGGGGUAGAGCACUGUUUCGGCUAGGGGGCCAUCCCGGCUUACCAACCCGAUGCAAACUGCGAAUACCGGAGAAUGUUAUCACGGGAGACACACGGCGGGUGCUAACGUCCGUCGUGAAGAGGGAAACAACCCAGACCGCCAGCUAAGGUCCCAAAGUCAUGGUUAAGUGGGAAACGAUGUGGGAAGGCCCAGACAGCCAGGAUGUUGGCUUAGAAGCAGCCAUCAUUUAAAGAAAGCGUAAUAGCUCACUGGUCGAGUCGGCCUGCGCGGAAGAUGUAACGGGGCUAAACCAUGCACCGAAGCUGCGGCAGCGACACUGUGUGUUGUUGGGUAGGGGAGCGUUCUGUAAGCCUGUGAAGGUGUGUCGUGAGGCAUGCUGGAGGUAUCAGAAGUGCGAAUGCUGACAUAAGUAACGAUAAAGCGGGUGAAAAGCCCGCUCGCCGGAAGACCAAGGGUUCCUGUCCAACGUUAAUCGGGGCAGGGUGAGUCGACCCCUAAGGCGAGGCCGAAAGGCGUAGUCGAUGGGAAACGGGUUAAUAUUCCCGUACUUGGUGUUACUGCGAAGGGGGGACGGAGAAGGCUAUGUUGGCCGGGCGACGGUUGUCCCGGUUUAAGCGUGUAGGUGUGUGUUCCAGGUAAAUCCGGUUCACUUUAACACUGAGGCGUGACGACGAGGCACUACGGUGCUGAAGCAACAAAUGCCCUGCUUCCAGGAAAAGCCUCUAAGCAUCAGGUAACAUCAAAUCGUACCCCAAACCGACACAGGUGGUCAGGUAGAGAAUACCAAGGCGCUUGAGAGAACUCGGGUGAAGGAACUAGGCAAAAUGGUGCCGUAACUUCGGGAGAAGGCACGCUGACACGUAGGUGAAGUGAUUUACUCAUGGAGCUGAAGUCAGUCGAAGAUACCAGCUGGCUGCAACUGUUUAUUAAAAACACAGCACUGUGCAAACACGAAAGUGGACGUAUACGGUGUGACGCCUGCCCGGUGCCGGAAGGUUAAUUGAUGGGGUCAGCGCAAGCGAAGCUCCUGAUCGAAGCCCCGGUAAACGGCGGCCGUAACUAUAACGGUCCUAAGGUAGCGAAAUUCCUUGUCGGGUAAGUUCCGACCUGCACGAAUGGCGUAAUGAUGGCCAGGCUGUCUCCACCCGAGACUCAGUGAAAUUGAACUCGCUGUGAAGAUGCAGUGUACCCGCGGCAAGACGGAAAGACCCCGUGAACCUUUACUAUAGCUUGACACUGAACAUUGAGCCUUGAUGUGUAGGAUAGGUGGGAGGCUUUGAAGUGUGGACGCCAGUCUGCAUGGAGCCGACCUUGAAAUACCACCCUUUAAUGUUUGAUGUUCUAACGUGGACCCGUUACCCGGGUUGCGGACAGUGUCUGGUGGGUAGUUUGACUGGGGCGGUCUCCUCCUAAAGAGUAACGGAGGAGCACGAAGGUUGGCUAAUCCUGGUCGGACAUCAGGAGGUUAGUGCA
RNAcentral lists this ribosomal RNA (1495 nucleotides) under Salmonella enterica. RNAcentral's name for it is "partial 23S ribosomal RNA". It matches the Rfam family "Bacterial large subunit ribosomal RNA", at positions 877 to 2353 of the family's 2925-position model. The record is from RNAcentral. Lineage: Bacteria; Pseudomonadati; Pseudomonadota; Gammaproteobacteria; Enterobacterales; Enterobacteriaceae.